This is a long non-coding RNA of Perca flavescens (yellow perch), 904 nucleotides long. RefSeq lists it as uncharacterized. NCBI's taxonomy places the organism in Eukaryota, Metazoa, Chordata, Actinopteri, Perciformes, Percidae. The record is from RefSeq and is a predicted model, not a curated record. The transcript is spliced from 6 exons.
UUAGCUAGCAUAAAGCCAUGAUUAAUUGGUAACUCGAAAAACAAACUCAGUAAAGAGCAAAUUAUAUUUCUACCAGCAGGAAUAAAAGUGGAAAAUUUGGAUGAACAAACUAGAAUGUACGUAGGCCUACCUGUAACGUGACUAGCAUAUUUUGCGUGAUAUGUGUGGAGACUGCAAGAGGAAAAGCUCGUGGACAUUAACCUAAACUUUCAACAACAAAUACUGUAAUACGCCAUGUGUACUAUUGGCUGCAGCCUGAAGUAGAGUUGAACAGCGAAUGGGACGAGAGAUGACUUCUGUGAUACAAAAUGGGCUGUUUGGUGAGUGUACAGCGGAGGCAAAGAGAAGAAACUCAAUCAGGCAGCAGUGGGAGCUGGACUCGUUCGUGGGAUAUACAACAGAAAGGCAAAGCGGAGGUUCAGAUACAGUACAGUAUCCAAUGGUGCCAUGGCCACAAGGAGCCAUAGCAGUGUGGGAUUCAAAGCAUCACCAGUGGGUGUGCCUUCUUUCACCCUCCAGCUCCUUUUAAUUCUGUGUGGUCGCUUACUGGAUGCCCAGGGUCAAGAUAUUCAGCAUCAUGCAGCUUUUUGAUUCAGCACACAUGCUUCAGCCACUUUAUUUUGUCUUGCUAGACUUGCCUAGACGUCUAUCCGUGUGAUAAUACGGCAUCAGACGCACUCGGGUGAGCAGUGCGAGGUAGACUGGAAGGGUGAAGCACUCAGAACAUGACUUUAUCUCUUUUCACCAGCCGCUCUCUGCUCCCAUCUAUGGAGGGAGCAGGGGAGGAGAUUGAAAUGCAGUGCAGCGGUGCUGUUGCACAGCUUCUCUCCACUAUACUGCCUAUGUUUUAUGCUUACCCAGCACUCCUUCUGAACACACAAGUGAUAAUGAUACUGAUUAAAGU